Molecule: ribosomal RNA, 497 nt
Filed under: uncultured bacterium
Lineage: Bacteria
Description: partial 16S ribosomal RNA
Rfam family: Bacterial small subunit ribosomal RNA
Source: RNAcentral
GAUGAACGCUGGCGGCGUGCCUAAUACAUGCAAGUCGAGCGAACGGACGAUAAGCUUGCUUCUCUGAUGUUAGCGGCGGACGGGUGAGUAACACGUGGAUAACCUACCUAUAAUACUUGGAUAACUUCGUGAAACCGGAGCUAAUACCGGAUGAUAUUUUGAACCGCAUGGUUCAAAAGUGAAAGACGGUCUUGCUGUCACUUAUAGAUGGAUCCGCGCUGCAUUAGCUAGUUGGUAAGGUAACGGCUUACCAAGGCAACGAUGCAUAGCCGACCUGAGAGGGUGAUCGGCAAAACUGGAAGUGAGACACGGAACAGACGACUACGGGAGGCAGAAGUAGGGAAUAGUCCGCAAUGGGCGAAAGCAUGACGGAGCAAAGCCGCGUGAGUGAUGAAGGUCUUCGGAUCGUAAAACUCUGUUAUUAGGGAAGAAAAUAUGUGUAAGUAACUGUGCACAUAUUGACGGUAACUAAUCAGAAAGCAACGGCUAACUACGUG